GAGAGACACAGGCAGAGCAUGUCAAAUACAUAAGUGAAUGCUAAGCAGCAAACCACUGAACUGAGGAAGGGACCCCCACUGGAGGAAUUAGAGAAAGGAUUGAAAGAGCUGUUGAAGGGGCUUGCAACCCCAUAAGAACAACAAUGCCAACCAACCAGAGCUCCCAGUGACUAAACCACCAUCCAAAGAGUACACAUGGACAGACCCAUGGCUCCAGCUGCAUAUGUAGCAGAGGAUGGCCUUGUUGGGCACCAAUGGAAGGAGAAUCCCUUGGUCCUGCCAAGGUUGGACCCCCAGUGUAGAGGAAUGUCGGGGGAGGGCAGGAAGGAGGUGGUAGAUGGGGAGGGGAACACCCUUAUAGAAGAAGGGGAGGGGGAUGGGAUAGGGGGCUUAUGUCUGGGAAACUGGGAAAGGAAAUAACAUUUGAAAUGUAAAUAAAAAACAUCCAA
RNAcentral lists this long non-coding RNA (449 nucleotides) under Rattus norvegicus (Norway rat). RNAcentral describes it as "long non-coding RNA NONRATT025719". Lineage: Eukaryota; Metazoa; Chordata; Mammalia; Rodentia; Muridae. The record is from RNAcentral.